CCUACGGGUGGCAGCAGUGAGGAAUAUUGGUCAAUGGCCGCAGGGCUGAACCAGCCAAGUCGCGUGAGGGAUGACGGUCCUAUGGAUUGUAAACCUCUUUUGUCAGGGAGCAAAGGGCGCCACGUGUGGCGCUUUGCGAGUACCUGAAGAAAAAGCAUCGGCUAACUCCGUGCCAGCAGCCGCGGUAAUACGUAGGUGGCAAGCGUUGUCCGGAUUUACUGGGUGUAAAGGGCGUUUAGCCGGGAAGGCAAGUCAGAUGUGAAAUCCGGAGGCUCAACCUCCGAAUUGCAUUUGAAACUGUGUUUCUUGAGUACUGGAGAGGCAGACGGAAUUCCUUGUGUAGCGGUGAAAUGCGUAGAUAUAAGGAGGAACACCAGUGGCGAAGGCGGUCUGCUGGACAGCAACUGACGGUGAGGCGCGAAAGCGUGGGGAGCAAACAGGAUUAGAUACCCUUGUAGUC
RNAcentral lists this ribosomal RNA (460 nucleotides) under uncultured bacterium. Its description in RNAcentral is "partial 16S ribosomal RNA". It matches the Rfam family "Bacterial small subunit ribosomal RNA", at positions 338 to 795 of the family's 1533-position model. The record is from RNAcentral.